RNAcentral lists this ribosomal RNA (362 nucleotides) under uncultured bacterium. RNAcentral describes it as "bacterial SSU rRNA". It matches the Rfam family "Bacterial small subunit ribosomal RNA", at positions 29 to 418 of the family's 1533-position model. The record is from RNAcentral.
AACGAACGCUGGCGGCAUGCCUAACACAUGCAAGUCGAACGCGUGUAGCAAUACACGAGUGGCGGACGGGUGAGUAACGCGUGGGAACCUGCCCAGUGGUAGGGAAUAACUGCGGGAAACUGCAGCUAAUACCCUAUACGCCCUUUGGGGGAAAGAUUCAUCGCCAUUGGAGGGGCCCGCGUCGGAUUAGCUAGUUGGCGGGGUAACGCCCACCAAGGCAACGAUCCGUAGCUGGUCGAGAGGAUGAUCAGCCACACUGGGACUGAGAUACGGUCCAGACUCCUACGGGAGGCAGCAGUGGGGAAUAUUGGACAAUGGGGGAAACCCUGAUCCAGCAAUGCCGCGUGAGUGAAGAAGGCCUU